GGUGCUGGAUAACUCGAUCCGGCUGGUGCUCGAGGUCGCUCAGCAUUUGGGGGAGAACACGGUCCGGACCAUCGCUAUGGAUGGGACGGAGGGACUUGUUCGCGGACAGAGGGUGCUUAACACCGGAUCUCCGAUCACUGUGCCUGUUGGAAGGGCUACCCUUGGACGCAUCAUUAAUGUCAUUGGUGAAGCGAUUGAUCAUAGGGGUGACAUAAAGACAAGCCACUACCUUCCCAUCCAUCGGGAAGCACCUGCUUUCGUUGAACAGGCAACAGAGCAACAGAUUCUUGUCACUGGUAUCAAGGUUGUCGAUCUUCUUGCUCCCUAUCAGAGGGGUGGAAAGAUUGGUCUCUUUGGUGGUGCUGGGGUUGGGAAGACUGUACUUAUUAUGGAGCUGAUAAACAAUGUUGCCAAAGCUCAUGGUGGUUUCUCUGUC
This 436-nucleotide unclassified non-coding RNA is filed under the name Hevea brasiliensis (rubber tree). Lineage: Eukaryota; Viridiplantae; Streptophyta; Magnoliopsida; Malpighiales; Euphorbiaceae. The record is from RNAcentral.